GACGAACGCUGGCGGCGUGCUUAACACAUGCAAGUCGAACGGUGAAGCGCCUUCCUUUUUGGUGGGUGUGGAUGAGUGGCGAACGGGUGAGUAACACGUGAGUAACCUGCCCCCUUCUUCUGGAUAACCGCAUGAAAGUGUGGCUAAUACGGGAUAUUCUGGGUCUGUCGCAUGAUGGGUCUGGGAAAGAUAUUGUUUCGGUGGGGGAUGGGCUCGCGGCCUAUCAGCUUGUUGGUGGGGUGAUGGCCUACCAAGGCGGUGACGGGUAGCCGGCCUGAGAGGGUGGACGGUCACACUGGGACUGCGACACGGCCCAGACUCCGACGGGAGGCAGCAGUGGGGAAUAUUGCACAAUGGGCGCAAGCCUGAUGCAGCGACGCCGCGUGAGGGAUGGAGGCCUUCGGGUUGUGAACCUCUUUCGCCAGUGAAGCAGGCCUGCCUCGUUUGUGGGUGGGUUGACGGUAGCUGGAUAAGAAGCGCCGGCUAACUACGUG
RNAcentral lists this ribosomal RNA (494 nucleotides) under uncultured bacterium. Its description in RNAcentral is "partial 16S ribosomal RNA". It matches the Rfam family "Bacterial small subunit ribosomal RNA", at positions 28 to 507 of the family's 1533-position model. The record is from RNAcentral.